RNAcentral lists this ribosomal RNA (375 nucleotides) under uncultured eukaryote. Its description in RNAcentral is "partial 18S ribosomal RNA". It matches the Rfam family "Eukaryotic small subunit ribosomal RNA", at positions 592 to 976 of the family's 1831-position model. The record is from RNAcentral.
CAAUAGCGUAUAUUUAAGUUGUUGCAGUUAAAAAGCUCGUAGUUGGAUUUCGGUUAAGUGCGACCGGUCCGCCGUUUGGUGUGCACUGGUUGGUUUUAACUUCCUGUAGAGGACGUGCUCUGGGUUUAACGACCUGGACUCGGAGUCUACGUGGUUACUUUGAAAAAAUUAGAGUGUUCAAAGCGGGCUUACGCUUGAAUAUUUCAGCAUGGAAUAACACUAUAGGACUCCUGUCCUAUUUCGUUGGUCUCGGGACGGGAGUAAUGAUUAAGAGGAACAGUUGGGGGCAUUCGUAUUUCAUUGUCAGAGGUGAAAUUCUUGGAUUUAUGAAAGACGAACUUCUGCGAAAGCAUUUGCCAAGGAUGUUUUCAUUAA